Molecule: long non-coding RNA, 540 nt
Filed under: Olea europaea (common olive)
Lineage: Eukaryota; Viridiplantae; Streptophyta; Magnoliopsida; Lamiales; Oleaceae
Description: long non-coding RNA (OEUR_LNC005546)
Source: RNAcentral
UUAUUGUAACUUUCCUUCUCAAGUUGGUGUAUAGACAUUACACAUGCCCAAUUUGGAUAGUGAUAUAUAGAAUGACCUAUUAUUUGGAAACACCUUUGCCAAAUUCUGAUUACAAAAUGGAUCUCUUUCACAGAGUAGAGACCCUCUACUAUCUCUACCAUUGCAAUCUUUGUUAGAUUGUCUUCCAUGAGGGGAUACUUGAGAUGUAUACGUGGCAACCUGAGCAGAUUUCUUUUUCUUCGUUUGAGCUUGCUUAAGUUUGAACCACUCCGGAUAAACAUGUGAUCUCCACCUAACAUUAACCAUGUGGCAGUGGAUGCUAGGCCUUGCGGACGCCUCGGAGUGAACCUCAAUCCUUAUACUAACUUGCUUCUUUACUUCACGACGGACUAGGGAGUAUGUGUCUUCCAAACUUAGGUCGUAAGGAAUACUAAGGCGUACCAGAGGGCUAAGUCGACCAAGGGAAAUGAUUGCGUAGAGAGGGUCACUACUCAAGAAAAAAUCGGAUAAAUUGAAGAUUUGCCACGACAAUAAAAAAUU